UACGUAGGGGGCUAGCGUUGUCCGGAAUCAUUGGGCGUAAAGCGCGUGUAGGCGGUCCGGUAAGUCCGCUGUGAAAGUCGAGGGCUCAACCCUCGAAUGCCGGUGGAAACUGUCGGGCUGGAGUCCGGAAGAGGCGAGUGGAAUUCCUGGUGUAGCGGUGAAAUGCGCAGAUAUCAGGAGGAACACCAAUGGCGAAGGCAGCUCGCUGGGACGGUACUGACGCUGAGACGCGAAAGCGUGGGGAGCAAACAGG
RNAcentral lists this ribosomal RNA (253 nucleotides) under uncultured bacterium. Its description in RNAcentral is "partial 16S ribosomal RNA". It matches the Rfam family "Bacterial small subunit ribosomal RNA", at positions 524 to 776 of the family's 1533-position model. The record is from RNAcentral.